GAUGAACGCUGGCGGCGUGCCUAAUACAUGCAAGUCGAGCGAACGGACGAGAAGCUUGCUUCUCUGAUGUUAGCGGCGGACGGGUGAGUAACACGUGGAUAACCUACCUAUAAGACUGGGAUAACUUCGGGAAACCGGAGCUAAUACCGGAUAAUAUUUUGAACCGCAUGGUUCAAAAGUGAAAGACGGUCUUGCUGUCACUUAUAGAUGGAUCCGCGCUGCAUUAGCUAGUUGGUAAGGUAACGGCUUACCAAGGCAACGAUGCAUAGCCGACCUGAGAGGAUGAUCGGCCACACUGGAACUGAGACACGGUCCAGACUCCUACGGGAGGCAGCAGUAGGGAAUCUUCCGCAAUGGGCGAAAGCCUGACGGAGCAACGCCGCGUGAGUGAUGAAGGUCUUCGGAUCGUAAAACUCUGUUAUUAGGGAAGAACAUAUGUGUGAGUAACUGUGCACAUCUUGACGGUACCUAAUCAGAAAGCCACGGCUAACUACGUG
This 497-nucleotide ribosomal RNA is filed under the name uncultured bacterium. Its description in RNAcentral is "partial 16S ribosomal RNA". It matches the Rfam family "Bacterial small subunit ribosomal RNA", at positions 28 to 507 of the family's 1533-position model. The record is from RNAcentral.